Long non-coding RNA from Sapajus apella (tufted capuchin), 1217 nucleotides. RefSeq lists it as uncharacterized. The transcript has 2 exons. NCBI's taxonomy places the organism in Eukaryota, Metazoa, Chordata, Mammalia, Primates, Cebidae. The record is from RefSeq and is a predicted model, not a curated record.
AACAGAGGCCUCAGAAAUAAUGCCACACAUUGUGGGGAAGCAGUCAGAGUGGUGGGAAAAACUAUAGGGAAAGGAUACAAACUUUCUGAAAGGUCUGAAGGCUCUGCAGAGCCCCUGGGGAGAACAGCUGAAGGCAGCUAUUCAAUAAUCCUGAGGCAGAGGGCAAAGAGUAGGUACAAGGGAGUGUGGGGGAAUUUAUCUUAAACAGGCUUUUUUACCUAGGUUGACCAGAAACUGACCUUUGAUCAUCUGUAAGCAUGACAUUCCCUGAACAGGGAAACAAUAAAUGUUAAUUAUCUACAGGUUGUGUUGGCUCCAGGUUUUCAGCAUUGUGCCUGUAAUGAAUAAAAGCAAGCAGCUCCAGCUUUUCAGGGCUGCUGUCUGGCCACUAGAGCCAGGGAGUCCCCUGGCUGCUCUUACACUGCAUACCUGUGUCCGAGUACUCAUUUCAUCUGUUGGCCUGGGUCUGUGGGACAGACCCGGCAGGUGGUGACCCAUGUGAAGAACGCUGCCAUGGAUCCCGACGGAAGCCUCGAAAAUGAAAGUGAAGUGACUAUGCAGUCCUCUUUGGAUUCCAGCACAACUGCAUCAAACCUCAUCACGGUGUGGCUAGGACCCAACCUAGUACCAGAAAUGAGGAAAAUGGCCCUGCAGGACCUGCAGCCCUGGACGAUGUGACUUCCUCAGAUGACACAGGCUCCAGACAUUACCUGGGGGAUGCUGAAGAAGACAACUCAGGAGGCUGAGUGAAUCCUUCUCCAGACACAAAUGCCAUUCACUCCAGAAUAUUUGUUUUGUGCUAUGCUGUCUGUUGUACAUUGCAACUUUUGUAGUGUAUUAAUCUUUUUCAUUCUCUCACUUUGCUUGCUACCUGUACCUGCUACACUCUACUGGGACCAUCUUCUAGGUCUGCAUUUUUUCGCCUUGUUACUUGGGCAGACACCCCCUUUCCAGCCUCUAACAAUGUGACCAAUUGGCUGGGAGAGAUUGACAUACCCUUGCUAAUGGCACAUAUUGGACUGAGAUGCCAAGUAAUACUACGUAUCACUCAUUGAUUGGAAAAGAAUAGUACUGAUUAUACCCAUGUUUAUGUUAUUUACUGGUUCUAGGAUGCAAAAUCAGAACAUGAGUUGGAACGGCUGCGCCAACCAAACCGGUCACUGUGGAUAUCUGCACACUUCAAUCAACAAAACCUGAUGGAAAAAUAAAUAAAUAAA